RNAcentral lists this small RNA (570 nucleotides) under Pan troglodytes (chimpanzee). Its description in RNAcentral is "processed transcript". Lineage: Eukaryota; Metazoa; Chordata; Mammalia; Primates; Hominidae. The record is from RNAcentral.
GGAGGGCGGGGCCUGAUCUUCGCGACAGCCGGGAGGGGGCGCCUCUCCCAGCCCUCGGCCGUGUCCCGGUCUAACUCGCCCCCGUCUGCUCAGCGCUGUCAGCCUGCAGCUGGCACACAGAAUUCUGGGGAGACAUUGCCAAGGAAUUUUACUGGAAGACUCCAUGCCCUGGCCCAUUCCUUCGGUACAACUUUGAUGUGACUAAAGGGAAAAUCUUCAUUGAGUGGAUGAAAGGAGCAACUACCAACAUCUGCUACAAUGUACUGGAUCGAAAUGUCCAUGAGAAAAAGCUUGGAGAUAAAUUUGCUUUUUACUGGGAGGGCAAUGAGCCAGGGGAGACCACUCAGAUCACAUACCAUCAGCUUCUGGUCCAAGUGUGUCAGUUCAGCAAUGUUCUCCGAAAACAGGGCAUUCAGAAGGGGGACCGAGUGGCCAUCUACAUGCCUAUGAUCCCAGAGCUUGUGGUGGCCAUGCUGGCAUGUGCCCGCAUUGGGGCUUUGCACUCCAUUGUGUUUGCAGGCUUCUCUUCAGAGUCUCUAUGUGAACGGAUCUUGGAUUCCAGCUGCAGUC